Molecule: ribosomal RNA, 456 nt
Filed under: uncultured bacterium
Lineage: Bacteria
Description: bacterial SSU rRNA
Rfam family: Bacterial small subunit ribosomal RNA
Source: RNAcentral
GGUGAACGCUGGCGGCGUGCCUAACACAUGCAAGUCGAGCGGUGCAGUUUGAAGCUUCGGUGGAAAGCUGCAUAGCGGCGGACGGGUGAGGAAAACGUAGGAACGUGCCCCUUGGAGUUGGAUAGCCAUGGGAAACUGUGGGUAAACCGACAUAGACUCGGGAGAGUAAAGGCCGAAAGGCGCCGAGGGAGCGGUCUGCGUCCCAUCAGGUAGUUGGUAAGGUAAAGGCCUACCAAGCCGACGACGGGUAACCGGUCUGAGAGGAUGGCCGGUCACAAGGGCACUGAGAGACGGGCCCUACUCCUACGGGAGGCAGCAGUGGGGGAUUUUGGACAAUGGGCGAAAGCCUGAUCCAGCGACGCCGCGUGGAGGACGAAGCCCUUCGGGGUGUAAACGUCCUUUUCUCAGGGAAAAAGGAUGAUGGUACCUGAGGAAUAAGCCCCGGCUAACUACGUG